Long non-coding RNA from Leopardus geoffroyi (Geoffroy's cat), 1475 nucleotides. RefSeq lists it as uncharacterized. The record is from RefSeq and is a predicted model, not a curated record. NCBI's taxonomy places the organism in Eukaryota, Metazoa, Chordata, Mammalia, Carnivora, Felidae. The transcript has 3 exons.
CAGAAAGGCUGGGAAUCAGACUCCCGCUGCACAUGUGUCCUUCUGUUCGCUAUUUCUAUUUCCAAGUCUUGUGCUUCUUCCAAAGUGUGUAAAGUCACUGGAAGUGCGUUGAAGAGAUGCAAACCAGGAAAUGUUUACGUGAUAAAACGGGCUCAGAGACAACUCUCUGGCAAGGGGAAACCAAGGGCGAGAAAGCUGACCACCAGAGGAAGCUGUGUUCUAAAAGGAAAAGACACAGUUUUGUGGAUGACUGAAGCAUUUCUGCUUCUCCUAGAGACACACAGAGUGCAUGUUGGCUGGAGAGUCAACUAUUACCCGAAGGCAAGUUCUCUGGAGCCUUCUUCAGUGCCACAGGCUCAGAGGGUGGGCUGGCUGAUACAGCACCAGGCAGACAAAAUGGCCUCCUUCCAGAGAGGGGGUGGGUCGGCUGCUGGCUCCUGGCCACCACCUCAGCCAGCUUUAAGGAAGUCACACAGUCCAGAGAUGUCUUCCAGACUGACAUUCCCACUGGAGCUCUGCCAAGGAACCUCAGAGGAGAGCCAACCACCUCCCUUUCCCAGCCAGCACUGUCUUCUGGCUAUGGUUGGAGGCCUGAUGGGCACAAACCCCUCUUGCUACAGAUCGUUUCCCUCACCCCGCCCCCACCCAUUGUUUCUCACCUGGGGGGGGGGGCCUAAGAUGGUCUAGCUGGACCACACUGCUCUGGGUAAACUUCAGUUCCCUGUGGGGGCUCUCUCUUCCUACCCACUCACCACAGAGGCUGUAAAGGAGGAGAGGCCACACCCUCCUGGAGGUUGGGCCAGUCUUCUUCAAGCGCGCUCAGUGCACACCAGUGCCCUUCAUGGGGUCUACACUCACCGACAGGUGCUGAGCUCUCCAGCGUCCAGUUCCCAGCCUGCCAGAGCCUCCCAGCCUCGCUCCUUUUGCAACGUCCCUCUGAGCUCUUCCUUCUGCCCUGGGUGUAGGAAGUAGCUGAGAAGGCAUUCCUCACCCCAGCACAUCCUCUGCCCUUGGCAUUUACAGGACUAGUGGCCACUGGCCCAGCAAACACACACGGCCUGAGGGGGAGGUGGGGUCCACCUGGGGAAGAAGGGUUUAUGCUCCACCCUGACCACAGUAACCUCAGCAGGGUCUCAAGCCCCUACGCCGCCCGCAAGCAUCGUGCAGUUACCUGGGCAGCUCCUUGGUCCCCUAAAGGGCCCAGAGCAGUCUGGAUUCCGUCUGAGAAGCAGGAUAGCCAGCCGUCCUCCCUUGUUUGGCAGGGUGGUAGGUGUCCACUGGGGAGGGUCACAUUGCUGAAACGUUCUUCAGGAUGGAAAGCAAGCCCCUCGUGGAAUUAUUCAGAAAGUAACUACAUUAUUGUCGUUAACUCAGCAAAGGACAUUGCCUCCAGUUCGUUCGUUCCAGUUUGUGCUAUCAGCUAUUUGAGGAAUGAUUGUUUUGUGGAAAGAAAUCACGGUGGUCUGGGCGCCUAG